UAUGAGGGUGAAACGGGCCGUCCCCAUACCCCGUCCGGUAUGGGCGCCAAAACCGUAAGAUCUCCAUACCCCGUCCGGCAUGUGAGACCACAAUCCCGGUAGGGUUCCCUACGGACCCGGUCCGUCCACCAUCUCCCACGAUAUCUAGUUAGGCUGACCCCCAUAAUACAAUUAUCAGUCUACACAAUCUUUCAUUUUUCUUUUCCUCAGUCAGCAUCAUCAAUUCACAUACAAACAAGCAAAACAGUAAUUCAUGCCAAACAGACAACAUACAGGAUCAGUUUUUUCAGUCA
RNAcentral lists this long non-coding RNA (293 nucleotides) under Carica papaya (papaya). RNAcentral describes it as "long non-coding RNA (CPAP_LNC007401)". Lineage: Eukaryota; Viridiplantae; Streptophyta; Magnoliopsida; Brassicales; Caricaceae. The record is from RNAcentral.